UAUUCUGCCCUACGGGGAAGGAUGAGAAGCUUCGACUAAGGUUCGACUCGAGCGUAGCGAGAGAACGUUGCCGCAGGCAACGGCCCGAAGGGCGAGGCGCUUUAGCGCCGAGUUAUCCUUCCCCCGCCACCA
RNAcentral lists this small RNA (132 nucleotides) under Klebsiella quasipneumoniae subsp. similipneumoniae. RNAcentral's name for it is "RtT sRNA". It matches the Rfam family "RtT RNA". Rfam says of the family: This family represents a bacterial cis-regulatory element known as RtT RNA. The exact function of RtT is unknown although it is thought that it may be involved in changing the cellular response in relation to amino acid starvation. The record is from RNAcentral. RNAcentral also lists the same sequence under 1 other name. Lineage: Bacteria; Pseudomonadati; Pseudomonadota; Gammaproteobacteria; Enterobacterales; Enterobacteriaceae.